RNAcentral lists this ribosomal RNA (224 nucleotides) under uncultured bacterium. RNAcentral describes it as "partial 16S ribosomal RNA". It matches the Rfam family "Bacterial small subunit ribosomal RNA", at positions 524 to 746 of the family's 1533-position model. The record is from RNAcentral.
UACGUAGGGGGCUAGCGUUGUUCGGAUUUACUGGGCGUAAAGGGCGCGUAGGCGGUCGUGACAAGUCACUUGUGAAAUCUCCGGGCUUAACUCGGAACGGUCAAGUGAUACUGUCGGACUAGAGUACAGAAGGGGCAACUGGAAUUCUCGGUGUAGCGGUGAAAUGCGUAGAUAUCGAGAGGAACACCUGCGGCGAAGGCGGGUUGCUGGGCUGAUACUGACGC